UUUCACAUAUGGCUCUUCAGGAGUUCUAAAUAUGUUGCGAAAGUUUACUAAUGGAGUAGAAUUGCUAAGGCCAGGGCAAACUAGAUUUGCUACUGCUUUUAUUACACUGGGAAGGAUUCAUCUUCAGAAAGCCAACAUUAGAAAAAUGUUUACUUCGAAAAGUUGGACAACUAGUAAAUGGGCUAAAUAGGUGAAAGGCAAAAAGUGUGAAAGGACGGUUUUGAGUCCUGCCUUCUGGAAUCAUGUUGUUUAUGCUCUUAAGGUUUCCGGUCCUCUUGUUCGUGUGCUUCGACUUGUUGAUAAUGAAAAAAAAUCAGCUAUGGGAUAUAUUUAUGAAGCCAUGGAUAGGGCUAAAGAAGCCAUUGCCAACUCACUCAAUGGCAAUGAAGAGAAAUACAAGAGCAUUUUUGAGAUUAUUGAUGCGAAAUGGUCACUUCAAUUGCAUCGUCUUUUGCAUGCUGCUGGAUACUUUUUGAAUCCUGAAUUUUUUUAUCCAAAUGAGAUGAGAAUUGAAUUUGAUGAAGAGGUCAAUACAGGAUUGCUUUCAUGCAUUCAUAAAAUGGAAAAAAAUUCAGCAAAAGUUUAUAUGAUUCUUGAUGAAAUUGAGAAAUACAAGGCAGCUGCAGGGACCUUUGGUUUUCCUUCAGCUAUUAGAGGAAGAACAACCAAAUCUCCAGCUGCUUGGUGAAAAACAUAUGGUUCUUCAACUCCAAACCUACAAAAGUUUGCUGUAAAGGUUCUGAGUCUCACAUGUAGUGCAAGUGGUUGUGAAAGAAAUUGGAGUGUAUUUGAGCAUCUUCAUAGUAAGAAAAGAAAUCGGCUAUUUCAAGAACGCUUGGACAAUUUGGUAUAUGUGAAGUACAAUAGAGCGUUGCUACGCAGACACACUUUUGGGGAUAUCACAACACCUAUUGAUUUGGCAAAUAUUGAUGAGAGUAAUGAAUGGUUGCUUGGUGAAUUAGAAAAAGGUGAUGGGGAUGAUGAUAAUGAUGAUUCUCUUGUUUUCAUGAAUGACGUAUUGACCUGGGGUGAUAUUGGUAGAGCAGCUGGAGUUUCUGAAUCUCGUUAUGAAUCGAGAUCGGCUGCAAGAUCAACACCACCAGUUGAAACUCCAUCAUUUCGAAGGCCUCGUGCAAUGAGAGGUGCAUCCUCUUCGCAAGUUGAUGAUGAUGAAGAGGAGGAAGAAUUUAUGAUGGCCGUUGUUGAAAAUGAAGAUUUUGGAAAUCUUGAUGAUGAGUAGUUUUAGUUUUAUGUACUUAUUGCAUUUUGUUUAUUAUGACUUACAACUUAUUUUUAUGUAUUAAAGUCUGAACAUAUAUAAUUUAUAUUUUCUAUUAUGUGACUUAUGAUUUAUUUCUAAUUUUUUAUUUAUUAUGUAUAAUUUUAUAGCGUCACUUUUAUCAUAUACAUCUGCUGCAAAUUUAGGUAUGAACUAUUUCUUUUUUUAACAUCUCUUAUUAUUAUGUGUGCUUUU
Molecule: long non-coding RNA, 1474 nt
Organism: Hevea brasiliensis (rubber tree)
Lineage: Eukaryota; Viridiplantae; Streptophyta; Magnoliopsida; Malpighiales; Euphorbiaceae
Exons: 3
Source: RefSeq, a predicted model, not a curated record